UGGGAACCUGCCUUUAGGUUCGGAAUAACGCCUCGAAAGGGGUNCUAAUACCGAAUAAUGUCUCGGACCAAAGNUUUAUCGCCUUUAGAUGGGCCCCGCGUUGGAUUAGCUAGUUGGNGGGUAAGCCUACC
This 131-nucleotide ribosomal RNA is filed under the name uncultured bacterium. RNAcentral's name for it is "partial 16S ribosomal RNA". It matches the Rfam family "Bacterial small subunit ribosomal RNA", at positions 118 to 269 of the family's 1533-position model. The record is from RNAcentral.